UAGUUUGGUGCUACAUGAUCC
This 21-nucleotide non-coding RNA is filed under the name Arabidopsis thaliana (thale cress). The record is from RNAcentral. Lineage: Eukaryota; Viridiplantae; Streptophyta; Magnoliopsida; Brassicales; Brassicaceae.